Ananas comosus (pineapple) is the source of this 1343-nucleotide long non-coding RNA. RefSeq lists it as uncharacterized. The record is from RefSeq and is a predicted model, not a curated record. The transcript has 7 exons. NCBI's taxonomy places the organism in Eukaryota, Viridiplantae, Streptophyta, Magnoliopsida, Poales, Bromeliaceae.
UUCUCUCAUCUUCUUUUCGUUUCUUUCUCUCUCUCUCUCUCUAAACUCUAUGGUUGGCCGGUUGAUGGUUGAAGAAGGAAGGAUUUUGGAGCAGGGAAAAGCUUGGUAGAGCUGAAUUUCAAGUAGGAGUCUAAAGGAGUAAAGCAUGUGUUGGAAGAGUUAGUGGCAGCCUGGGUGCUUUCGGGCUUGUAGAAGCUGCCGAGCAGGAAAUUGGGUAUUGGAGCAGAGAGCAAUCUGAUAGAACAACUAAACUAAGAAAUUCAAGGAGAAGCUGUUGGAGGACUGCCUUGUAGAGGUUUUGGGCACCUAGAUUGAGGGAGGAAUAGAGGGGGGCUCUUUGAUGUUUCCUGGGGGAGCUUCGAAUGUAAGAAAGAUUGGUGCUUUCCCGGAUUGGAGUAAUACUAGUACCCUAAAAAGGGUGGUGAACAAAGAAAGUGAUAAUGCUAAAAUUGUAGGGAGCUGAAAAGAAGACUUGGUGGAGCUUCUUGAGUAGUUCGAAUUUCAGAAAAUCUGGUGGAACCUUGAUGCUAGGAGGAGCUCGAAAUUGAGGGCUGCUGCUAUGGUGGAUUCUGGGCGCCCAGAUCGGACAGGAACCGAUUGGAGCUUCAGCUGAGGAAGGGUUGCAACCUGAAGUAGCUGUCUUGAGAAGUUUUGGGCGCCCGAAUUGUAGAAGGGGACUGAAGAGUGCGUCGAAUUGGGGGCUGUGAAGAAGAAACAAGUGCCGAAUUUCAGCAUAAGCAGAAUUUCAGCAUACACUUUCUGCUAUUGGAGCUGAAAAAGAAUCCGGUAGAGCUUUGAGCUCAGUGGCUGCAAAGAGGGAAAUAGUGGUGCAGAUUUCAACAAUGGAAGUAGUUUCUGUUGGAGCCGAGAACAAACUAAUUGAGCCGCACAUUAAGGUUAGACAUGUUCGGAGAUACAAAUUGACAUUCCGACAGAUUUGUGGCGCACUACUUACGGUAGAAGCCGUUCUAGCUCUAUUUACACCAAGUCGCGAGAGCUCGUUGUUGAUACGGUUCGAGACGUUGAUUCCAGUUUGUUGGCAUCUCUACAGACCUAGUAGGUGAAUCGGCGAGGUCGGCAGUCGAACCCACUAGGAACUUUCAGUAGUUCUCACUCCACCAACCAUACAGGUUCCAGCUCGUGCGGGGUGAUCGAGGAUCGUGACAGGGACAGCGCGCUAUAGAUAGCGACAUUCAUUGAGUAUAGUUGUACCUUAUUUAUCUCAUCUGUUUAUAGUUGAUGAAAGUAAAUGUAAAUUAUUCAUUUGAGAGAUGGCAAUAUAAUAAUUAUGUAAGUUUUGUAUUUGAUUUAAAGUAAUCAAGAUACAAUGUGCGAAUACUUUA